Molecule: ribosomal RNA, 22 nt
Filed under: Prasophyllum australe
Lineage: Eukaryota; Viridiplantae; Streptophyta; Magnoliopsida; Asparagales; Orchidaceae
Description: partial 26S ribosomal RNA
Source: RNAcentral
ACGACCCCAGGAUGAACGAGAU